This 4661-nucleotide long non-coding RNA is filed under the name Spirodela polyrhiza (greater duckweed). Its description in RNAcentral is "long non-coding RNA (SPOL_LNC002562)". The record is from RNAcentral. Lineage: Eukaryota; Viridiplantae; Streptophyta; Magnoliopsida; Alismatales; Araceae.
AUGCUCAUAAUCUGGGCCUACGAUUAUUCUAGUGUUCUUUGAAUUUUUUUUUUCUCUUCAACGUCCCUGGAAAAUGCAUUAAAUGAUAAGAAAACAUGAUGCUAGAUAAUGUAUAUAUAUACAUAUUUUAUUUAUGGGACAGAUGACGAUGACAGCUGAGCUUUACACACAUCAUCUUCUUUGAAGGUUUCUCUCAAAGGAAUGCCCAUUCAUCCGUGCUUAUGGGGCUCUGCGCUUCGAUGCUACUACAAAAAUAUCAUCUGAGUGGGAAGACUUUGGUUCAUUCUACUUUUCUAUUCCUCAGGUAAAUCGUCUUCCGACAUUUCAGCGCAUGACUGUCUAUUUACCGCAUUAUCCAGGCUGAAGUACCUGUUAUUUAGAGAAUUCAAAUGGCAGGUUGAAUUUAAUGAGCUUGAAGAAGGUUCAAAGCUCGCCAUAAACAUAGCGUGGGAUGACAGCCUAAGGUGGCCUUGGGAGAAGGCAAUGGAAGGUCUGCAUGAUACAAUGGAUCAGGUACUGAUGAUGGCGAGAGAUGCUUCAUUUGAUGGGAAAAAAAUCGCAAGUGCCCUUCAUGUAUUAAUUAAUUACACCUCUCUGUGUAGAUUUUUUUUCUUGUUUAGGUCAAUGGAGGGUUUUUUUUCUUGGCUAGUGCAUCAUUAUGUACCCCAAAAAUAGUAUUAAGGAUAUGUUUUCUGGGCACAGAUUUUGCCUUCCGAAGCUAAUCUGCAAAGGCAAGCCCCCAGAUCGACCGUUCUUAGUAGCAGUCACACUCCCAGCAAGGAAUACUGGGACGCUUCUGUUAAGAAGGCCUUACAGAUGAUCAAAGGAGAAAAUUCUGAUCUACUAAAGGUACAGAGCAGCUGUGUCAUUCAGUUUGGAUCCUUCAUACCAUAUUAAUAAUGAGCGCGUACAAGGUUUCAUUUUCCUGUUAUUUAUAUUUAGAAGUAUUCCACAUUCCUAUGAAAUUCGAUUUUUUUUUUUGAUUCCUAGAUGGAUCAAAUGGUCGUUUAUAAAUUUCUUCAAAUAAGUUAUACUCCUAGCCGAAUUCAUCAGUGUUUUGUGCUCAAAUAAUCUUAUUGUCACAGAUAACUGAGACUUGAGUAACGACGUAAAGGUGUGACUAAAAUAGUAAAAUCUAUGAAAAUUAUAAAAAUGCCCAUAAAUAUUUAUUUUCAUGAUAAAAGACAAAUGCGUAGAUUCAUGCACGUAUUCAAAUAACUUUAUUUUCCGGGUACCAUGAAAUAAUUUUGAAAAGGUGAGUAAAACAGGGCGACAACGGAUGAAAAUGUGUGACCUGACAUCCAGAAAACGUUUAUUUUGUUCUUGAUCGUUUCUUCUGCGUUUUAUGGAGUGGGGGAAAGCUCCCCUCACAUUUUGGAGAUCUAUGCUAUUGGAUGGGGAGUCCGACAGAAAUCUCCGCUUGAUGGUUAAUAAUUUCCAUUAUACCUGGAAAUUAUAUGACCUUGCAUCUCUUAAGCAUUCUCGAUCAAGUUUUACGUACUUUUAUGGAAUUUUCUUCGGUUUUUCUUAUCAUUUUUCCUCACCAUUCUUCCAAAAACUGGUGCCGCAUCUUCCCCCAGGUUGUGCUUGCACGAAGUAGUAGAAUUCUCACUGAUGCGGACAUCGACCCCAUAACAUUACUGGCAUGCCUACAGGUGUGAUUUUUUCUCUUACCCAUAUUUCUGUCACUCAUUUUUCUUAGUUUCCUGUUAGAUGAGCCAAAUAUGGCCUCACUUUAUGCGCAGAUGGAAGGACAGAAGGCGUACCAGUUCUGUAUUCAGCCAGCUGGAGGCCCUGCAUUCAUUGGGAAUACUGUAAGUUGACUGCGGCGUGGGUCAAUCCAUUUUGACUUUUUUCCAACUUCGUUAGUUUAGGUCAACGGAUAAUAUGCUUCCUAUUUUGUAAAUUUCGAUGAAUGGUUAGAUAAUGAAUUCAAAACCAAUGAUAUGCUCGGAUUGGGCACCAAAGAUUCAUGUUUUAAUCUAAAGACUGUCUGACGCUCUGUUCUAGGAUGAUCAUGGCUUAAGGGGUAGAUUUCUAAUGAAUUCCCCCGCAUUUUUAGAGAUAUUUGCGUUUCCCAUGCUUAAAUUAUAAUGUUUUUACUCUCGCAUUGACUCACAAGCUUGCCCCUCUACAAUUCUGAACCGAGCUCAGUGGUGAUCCCUUCUCAUUUUAGGAUCAUCAUCAUCAUCAUCUUAGUAAAGUGAUAGAUCAUAUUCUAUCAUCGUUGAUGUGGUCUCUUUUCUCAUCUUUUUGAAUGGGAGAAAUAGCAGUAGGCUACCACCACCUAUACUGGCCUAGUGUACCUUUCAUUGAUUUACAUCAUGAGUUUCAAAUAUUUUCAUCGUCAAAAAUAUAUAUUUUUCAUAUGAAUAAAUGGUUAAUAUCUUGCUCCACAUGACAUAUUCGACUAAAAAAAUUCCUUUUUUUGUGGAAAUCUUAACAGCCAGAACAGCUAUUUCACAAAGAAAAUUUGCAUGUUUGGAGCGAGGCGCUAGCUGGGACUCGGGCCAGAGGCAGAACUGUAAGGGAUGAUCUGAAAAUUAGACAGGAUUUACUUCUCAGGUAGUGCCCAUAUUUACUGACUCCUUUUAUAAAAUAAAUAAAUAAAUACAUAAAUUGAGAGGCUGAGAAUUUAUCCUUGGGCCUGGAAAUUUUGAUGCAUACUCAUCAAGAGUCUGGUCCUUUUUUAUUUCUGUAUGCAGCCCCAAAGAUGACGUUGAGUUUUCCAUAGUACGAGAGAAUAUUAGAACGAAAUUAGAGGCAAGUUAAUCCUGUAAUGUGGGGAAAUGUUGGAACUGAAUUUUCAUCAUGAUGAUCACCGCUCUCUUACUGUUUUUUUUUUUUGUUCUUGAUAAUAAUUCCGCGCAGAUUAUCUGUGACGAGGUGCGUGUAGAAUCAAAUAAAACCAUCAGGAAACUCCCCCGGGUGCAACAUCUCUGCGCUCGGUUAUCCGGCAGACUGAAGAGUGAGGAAGAUGAGGUAGACCCACCCAGAUAACAAUAUAAAUUCAGAGCAUAUGCGCAUUAAUUAAUUAAUUAAUCGCUUCAUAGCGCAGCUUCAUGGGUCUACAAUAUGCCCAGAUUUUAUAUAAAAUCUACUUCAGGACUUGGACGAUGUUUCAGCAUUCGGAUGUGUUUUGUUUGCAGUUCUAUGUUUUGACUCAUCUCCAUCCGACUCCAGCAGUUAGUGGAUUGCCCACUGAAGAGGCGCGCAGAUUCAUAGCCGAAAAUGGUCGGUAAAUUUUUCUGGUUCCUAUCAAAAUAGCAAUUCCGCUCUGUUUUUAUCUUUUUAAGGAAAUGUUCACGAAUUAAUUUAUAGUUAGCCAUACAUAAUCUCAAGUCUGGGUCAGAAAUUCGGUUUUUUUUAAGAGCUGCAAUUCUCUCAAACCAAAAAAAAUUUGCCGCCUCUCAGCAUGAUUCAGGCGAUCGAAUCAACCAAGUGUCGGAUUAUUCUCCUUAAUCUGCUCUCAUCUCCAUCAUUCUCCUUGGUCUGAUCACCUCCAGGGCCCCUUUUUUUUUUCUUGAGCACAAAAGAAGAAAAUCGCUAGUACACAUAAAUUGUUCGGAUGAACAAGAACCGUUGGGAGGUUCGACUGGGCAUGAGAUCGAGGCUUCGCCUCCCCCCCUAAGAAUCUGAUUGCCAGAUGAAACCCACUUAAUUUUCUUGAGAUCGCCUGCUCUCAGUUCCAUUAGAGAAAAAAAACUAUAUAUGCGUAUAUUAUUUAUUCAUCAUUCAGUUGAAGUGAGAUACUGUUUCGUUGGUCCUUCUCUAGAGGCGUUUGACCGUGGGAUGUACGCCGGCCCUGUGGGCUGGUUCGGGGGAAGCGAGACUGAAUUUGCCGUCGGCAUCCGGUCAGCUCUGGUGGGGAAGGUAACUUGUCGAACCCACGAUUUAUUAUUAAUUAUCUAUAAUUUUUUGCUCAUAAAGGCCGGUUCUUUGGAGUUAAACCUCAUUACCCAGAUAGCCCGAUCUUCCAACUUCCAUCAUAAUAACCGGCCAAAAUCUGGAUCCCAGGGGCUCGGCACGUUGAUCUACGCUGGGGCUGGAAUCGUCGAGGGAACCGUCUCGUCCUCCGAAUGGGACGAGGUCGAGUUGAAAGCCUCCCAGGUCUGCUUCUCUCUCUCUAUCUCUCUCUCUCUCUCUCUCUCUCUCUCUCUUUCUCUCUCUCUCUCUAGAUGCUGAUAAAUGAGGGUACUUGUGUGAGGCAGUUCACGAAGCUGCUGCAGUGCAAAGAGACCACCAGCCCCUCCGCGGUGGACCCGCAGGCGCUCGCAGUGCCCAAGAGCCUCAGGGGAGCCCUCCCCCGGUACAAACAGCCGAAAGUCUAGCCCUCAGCGUUAUCUGUGUGUGUGUGUGUGUGCAUGCCUCUCUCUCUCUCUCUCUCUCUCUCUCUCUCUCUCGCAUGGUGAUAUCGCGUGAAGUUGGCUAGUCUUCUAGUUUAUUUGUUCCUGAAAAAGCCAAUGCUUGUAUUUGCCGAACUAAUAAAAGCCAAUCCAAGAUCCCAAGGCUGGGUCAGCUCGGCCUGGACUGGGUCAACUCGGAUUCUUCCAUCGAUCCCAAGAAUGUGUCCGAAUAUAAAUAGGCAGCAGCACGCAGCGCAGAAAACAAUGGCGAAUGGGUCUUCCUCCUCCUUGUUCCUUCUCCCUGGGGGACCUCCU